This 478-nucleotide ribosomal RNA is filed under the name uncultured bacterium. Its description in RNAcentral is "partial 16S ribosomal RNA". It matches the Rfam family "Bacterial small subunit ribosomal RNA", at positions 28 to 507 of the family's 1533-position model. The record is from RNAcentral.
GAUGAACGCUGGCGGCGUGCUUAACACAUGCAAGUCGAACGGGAAACCUUUUCUUGAAGCUUCGGCCGAUUUAGCUGGUUUGUAGUGGCGGACGGGUGCGUCCUGCGUGGGUAACCUGACUUCUACAGGGGGAUGACAACCAGAAAUGGUUGCUAAUACCGCAUGAGCGCACAGUACCGACUGGUCCGGAGUGGAAAAGUCCGGUGGUAUAUGAUGGACCCACGUUGGAUUAGCUAGUUGACAGGGUAACGGCGUACCAAGGCGACGAUCCGUAGCCGGGCUGUGAGGGUGAGCGGCCACACUGGGACUGAGACACGGCCCAGACUCCUACGGGAGGCAGCAGUGGGGAAUAUUGCACAAUGGCGGAUACCAUGAUGCAGCGACGCCGCGUGAAGGAAGAAGUAUCUCGGUAUGGACAGUUAGAUCAGCAGGGAAGAUAGUGACGUUACCAGAAUAAGAAGCCCCGGCUAACUACGUG